This 1485-nucleotide ribosomal RNA is filed under the name Triticum aestivum (bread wheat). RNAcentral describes it as "partial small subunit ribosomal RNA". Lineage: Eukaryota; Viridiplantae; Streptophyta; Magnoliopsida; Poales; Poaceae. The record is from RNAcentral.
AUGGCUAGGCAGACGCCCAGGUGCUACCCGCAACUCCUCCAAACCGACUUCCCCGGCACGGAGGAGCCCGGCGUUCCCAUGGACAUGCGGCAUGGGCUGGAUCCGGAGACGCUGGACCCCUACAAAAACAUGGUGCUCAAAUUCAUCUACUCCUUCCUCCUCAAGUCCCCCGUCUCCACCGCCGCCUCCCUCUCCUGCACCACCGCGGAUGACGGCGACGGCGUCGACCGCUUCAGCCUUCUCCCCGACGAUCUCCUCCGCCGCGUCGUCUCCCGCCUCCCCGCCAAGGACGGCGCGCGCACCGCCGUGCUCUCCUCGCGCUGGCGCCACCUUUGGCGCUCCACCCCGCUCGUCCUCGUCGACACCCACCUCCUCCCCGCGGCGUGCGCCGGGGCCGUCUCUCGCGCCGUCACCGGCGCCGUCUCCGCAGCCCUCGAGGCGCACCCGGGGAGCUUCACCUUCGUCAGCCUCACCUGCAGCUUCCUGGAACGCGCCGACCGCGGCGUGCUCGCGCGCUGGGUCCAGCUCCUCGCCACCAAGGGCGUCAGCGAGCUCGUCCUCAUCAACCGCCCGUGGCCCCUCCCCCGUGGCGUGUGCCUCCCAGUCGCGCUCUUCAGCUGCGCCUCUCUCACCCGCCUCUACCUCGGCGCCUGGCUGUUUCCGGACACCGCCAGCCUCCCGCGCGGCGCUGCUUUCCCGAAUCUGCGUGAGCUCGUCCUCGGGUGCGUCAUCAUGACGGACAAGGAUCUCGACUUCGUGCUCGCCGCGAGCCCCGUGCUGGAGAUACUCGCGGUCGUUGGAAACCAGACCGAACUGCACGCUCGUCUUGCCAGUCAGAGCCUACGGUGCGCGCAAUUCUGCGUGUCCAACGUGGAGGAGGUCGCCGUGGUGGACGCCCCACUCCUUGAGCGUCUCUUCAUCUGGCACACCUCAAGGGCCAGGAGCAGAACAAGUGCUAGAGUCAAGAUUGGCCAUGCUCCACAGCUGCGUUUGCUGGGAUACCUACGACCAGGAGGGCAGGUGCUGGAGAUUGGCAACACCACCAUCAAGUCUGGGGAAACUCAUGAACCCACUGGCAAUCUCCGUCUCAAGUUCUGGCAGGAGAAUGGUAUGAUUGAGUGCGUCCGAUCACGCCUCAAAAGUAUUGUUUUCCGUGAGUACCAUGGGCAUCAGAAUGAGUUUGCCUGUCUCAUGUUCAUUGCCGAGAAUGCAAAGGUGCUGGAGCGGAUGGUGGUUGAGUUGAAGUUUGGAAGGUAUGAUGUGCCUCUACAGAUCGCUAUCAAGAUGAAAGCUCUGGAGGGUGCCAAAUGGGCCAGUGGAGGCCAUAAAUUGCAACUCACCUUCAGUAAAUUUCCUACUGCAUGGAGCCUCACGAGAGGAUCCGACUUCUCAUGUGAUGACCCUUUCCUCUGCCUCUGCUAUAUGCCAACCUAUUUCGAAAUGCGAGACAGCUCUGGCCAGUUCAAGCCCCUGGGUUAUCUUUAG